Molecule: ribosomal RNA, 484 nt
Filed under: uncultured bacterium
Lineage: Bacteria
Description: bacterial SSU rRNA
Rfam family: Bacterial small subunit ribosomal RNA
Source: RNAcentral
AUUGAACGCUGGCGGCAUGCCUUACACAUGCAAGUCGAACGGCAGCACGGGAGCAAUCCUGGUGGCGAGUGGCGAACGGGUGAGUAAUAUAUCGGAACGUGCCCAGUCGUGGGGGAUAACGUAGCGAAAGCUACGCUAAUACCGCAUACGAUCUACGGAUGAAAGCGGGGGAUCGCAAGACCUCGCGCGAUUGGAGCGGCCGAUAUCAGAUUAGCUAGUUGGUGGGGUAAAGGCCCACCAAGCCAACGAUCUGUAGCUGGUCUGAGAGGACGACCAGCCACACUGGAACUGAGACACGGUCCAGACUCCUACGGGAGGCAGCAGUGGGGAAUUUUGGACAAUGGGCGCAAGCCUGAUCCAGCAAUGCCGCGUGCAGGAUGAAGGCCUUCGGGUUGUAAACUGCUUUUGUACGGAACGAAAAGGCUCUGGUUAAUACCUGGGGCUCAUGACGGUACCGUAAGAAUAAGCACCGGCUAACUACGUG